CGAGCGCACCCCUAUCCUUAUUUGCCAGCGCAUAAUGGCGGGAACUACAUGGAGAACAGCCGGUCAUAAACCGGAGGAAGGCGGGGACGACGCCUAGAAAAUCAUGGCCCUUAUGGGUAGGGCUACACACGUGAUACAAUGGGUGGUACAGAGGGUCGCCAAAGCGCGAGCUGGAGCCAAACCCUUAAAACCAUUCUUAGUCCGGAUUGGAGUCUGCAACUCGACUCCAUGAAGUCGGAAUCGCUAGUAAUCGCGAAUCAGAAUGUCGCGGUGAAUACGUUCUCGGGCCUUGUACACACCGCCCGUCACGUCAUGGAAGUGGGUUGCACCAGAAGUGGCUUGUUUAACCUUCGGGAAAACGGUCACCACGGUGUGAUUCACAACUGGGACGAAGUCGUAACAAGGUAGCCCUAGGGGAACCUGGGGCUGGAUCA
RNAcentral lists this ribosomal RNA (434 nucleotides) under uncultured marine bacterium 311. RNAcentral describes it as "bacterial SSU rRNA". It matches the Rfam family "Bacterial small subunit ribosomal RNA", at positions 1093 to 1525 of the family's 1533-position model. The record is from RNAcentral.